GCUGGCGUAGCUCAAUCGGUAGAGCACCGGUUUUGUAAACCGGCGGUUAUGAGUUCAAGUCUCAUCGCCAGCUCUA
This 76-nucleotide transfer RNA is filed under the name Myxococcales bacterium SG8_38. RNAcentral's name for it is "tRNA-Thr". It matches the Rfam family "tRNA". From Rfam's summary of the family: Transfer RNA (tRNA) molecules are approximately 80 nucleotides in length. Their secondary structure includes four short double-helical elements and three loops (D, anti-codon, and T loops). The record is from RNAcentral. Lineage: Bacteria; Pseudomonadati; Myxococcota; Myxococcia; Myxococcales.